This 352-nucleotide unclassified non-coding RNA is filed under the name soil metagenome. RNAcentral's name for it is "partial contains 5.8S ribosomal RNA, internal transcribed spacer 2, and large subunit ribosomal RNA". The stretch from base 1 to 120 matches the Rfam family "5.8S ribosomal RNA", at positions 35 to 154 of the family's 154-position model. The record is from RNAcentral.
GAUGAAGAACGCAGCGAAAUGCGAUAAGUAAUGUGAAUUGCAGAAUUCAGUGAAUCAUCGAAUCUUUGAACGCACAUUGCGCCCGCCAGUAUUCUGGCGGGCAUGCCUGUUCGAGCGUCAUUACAAACCUCAGGCCCCCGGGCCUGGCGUUGGGGAUCGGCGGAGCCCCCCGUGGGCACACGCCGUCCCCCAAAUACAGUGGCGGUCCCGCCGCAGCUUCCAUCGCGUAGUAGCUAACACCUCGCGACUGGAGAGCGGCGCGGCCACGCCGUAAAACACCCAACUCUUCUGAAGUUGACCUCGAAUCAGGUAGGAAUACCCGCUGAACUUAAGCAUAUCAAUAAGCGGAGGA